Molecule: unclassified non-coding RNA, 148 nt
Organism: Macaca fascicularis (crab-eating macaque)
Lineage: Eukaryota; Metazoa; Chordata; Mammalia; Primates; Cercopithecidae
Rfam family: Metazoan signal recognition particle RNA
About the family: The signal recognition particle (SRP) is a universally conserved ribonucleoprotein. It is involved in the co-translational targeting of proteins to membranes.
Source: Ensembl
GCUGGGUGUGGUGAUGCAUGCCUGUAAUCCCAGCUACUCAGGAGGCCGAGGCAGGAGAAUUACUUGAGCCUGGGAGGCAGAGGUUGCAGUGAGCCAAGAUCACGCCACUGCACUCUAGCCUGGGUGACAGAGUAAGACUCUGUCUCAA